UGCUUAACACAUGCAAGUCGAACGGGGUCCACCCUCCGGGAGAAGACCUAGUGGCGAACGGGUGAGUAACACGUGAGCAACCUGUCCCAAAGACCGGGAUAAGCCAGGGAAACUUGGUCUAAUACCGGAUGCCUUCAUCGAAUCUUCUGAUUUGAUGAAGAAAUGGAUUCCGCUUUGGGAGGGGCUCGCGGCCUAUCAGCUUGUUGGUGGGGUAACGGCCUACCAAGGCGUCGACGGGUAGCUGGUCUGAGAGGAUGAUCAGCCACACUGGGACUGAGACACGGCCCAGACUCCUACGGGAGGCAGCAGUGGGGAAUCUUGCGCAAUGGGCGAAAGCCUGACGCAGCAACGCCGCGUGAGGGUAAGGCUCUCGGGUUGUAAACCUC
Molecule: ribosomal RNA, 386 nt
Filed under: uncultured organism
Description: bacterial SSU rRNA
Rfam family: Bacterial small subunit ribosomal RNA
Source: RNAcentral